GAAAUGCGAUAAGUAAUGUGAAUUGCAGAAUUCAGUGAAUCAUCGAAUCUUUGAACGCACCUUGCGCUCCUUGGUAUUCCUUGGAGCAUGCCUGUUUGAGUAUCAUGAAAUCUUCAAAGUAAAUCUUUUGUUAACUCAAUUGGUUUCUACUUUGGUAUUGGAGGUCUUUGCAGCUUCACACCUGCUCCUCUUUGUUCAUUAGCUGGAUCUCAGUGUUAUGCUUGGUUCCACUCGGCGUGAUAAGUUAUCUAUCGCUGAGGACACUGUAAAAGGUGGCCAAGGUAAAUGCAGAUGAACCGCAUCUAAUAGUCCAUUGACUUGGACAAUACUUUUAUGAUCUGAUCUCAAAUCAGGUAGGACUACCCGCUGAACUUAAGC
This 378-nucleotide unclassified non-coding RNA is filed under the name plant metagenome. RNAcentral's name for it is "partial contains 5.8S ribosomal RNA, internal transcribed spacer 2, and large subunit ribosomal RNA". The stretch from base 1 to 105 matches the Rfam family "5.8S ribosomal RNA", at positions 50 to 154 of the family's 154-position model. The record is from RNAcentral.